Molecule: non-coding RNA, 72 nt
Organism: Parelaphostrongylus tenuis
Lineage: Eukaryota; Metazoa; Nematoda; Chromadorea; Rhabditida; Metastrongylidae
Source: the annotation of a GenBank genome assembly
GCGUCGGUAGUGCAACGGUUAGCAUAUGCUCCCGGGAAGAGUGAGGUCUGGGCUCGAAUCCCGGCUGACGCA